GAUGAACGCUAGCUACAGGCUUAACACAUGCAAGUCGAGGGGAAACGACAUCGAAAGCUUGCUUUUGAUGGGCGUCGACCGGCGCACGGGUGAGUAACGCGUAUCCAACCUGCCCAUCACUUGGGAAUAACCUUGCGAAAGUAAGACUAAUACCCAAUGACAUCCCACGAAGACAUCUGAAUGGGAUUAAAGAUUUAUCGGUGAUGGAUGGGGAUGCGUCUGAUUAGCUUGUUGGCGGGGUAACGGCCCACCAAGGCAACGAUCAGUAGGGGUUCUGAGAGGAAGGUCCCCCACAUUGGAACUGAGACACGGUCCAAACUCCUACGGGAGGCAGCAGUGAGGAAGAUUGGUCAAUGGGCGAGAGCCUGAACCAGCCAAGUAGCGUGCAGGAGGACGGCCCUAUGGGUUGUAAACUGCUUUUAUAAGGGAAUAAAGUGGGUCUCGUGAGACUUUUUGCAUGUACCUUAUGAAUAAGGACCGGCUAAUUCCGUG
RNAcentral lists this ribosomal RNA (492 nucleotides) under uncultured bacterium. Its description in RNAcentral is "partial 16S ribosomal RNA". It matches the Rfam family "Bacterial small subunit ribosomal RNA", at positions 28 to 507 of the family's 1533-position model. The record is from RNAcentral.